This 623-nucleotide ribosomal RNA is filed under the name Flavobacterium sp. Ri2Pw_5810. RNAcentral's name for it is "bacterial SSU rRNA". It matches the Rfam family "Bacterial small subunit ribosomal RNA", at positions 391 to 1015 of the family's 1533-position model. Lineage: Bacteria; Pseudomonadati; Bacteroidota; Flavobacteriia; Flavobacteriales; Flavobacteriaceae. The record is from RNAcentral.
GCCAUGCCGCGUGCAGGAUGACGGUCCUAUGGAUUGUAAACUGCUUUUGUACGAGAAGAAACACUCCAACGUGUUGGAGCUUGACGGUAUCGUAAGAAUAAGGAUCGGCUAACUCCGUGCCAGCAGCCGCGGUAAUACGGAGGAUCCAAGCGUUAUCCGGAAUCAUUGGGUUUAAAGGGUCCGUAGGCGGUUUAGUAAGUCAGUGGUGAAAGCCCAUCGCUCAACGGUGGAACGGCCAUUGAUACUGCUAAACUUGAAUUAUUAGGAAGUAACUAGAAUAUGUAGUGUAGCGGUGAAAUGCUUAGAGAUUACAUGGAAUACCAAUUGCGAAGGCAGGUUACUACUAAUGGAUUGACGCUGAUGGACGAAAGCGUGGGUAGCGAACAGGAUUAGAUACCCUGGUAGUCCACGCCGUAAACGAUGGAUACUAGCUGUUGGGAGCAAUCUCAGUGGCUAAGCGAAAGUGAUAAGUAUCCCACCUGGGGAGUACGUUCGCAAGAAUGAAACUCAAAGGAAUUGACGGGGGCCCGCACAAGCGGUGGAGCAUGUGGUUUAAUUCGAUGAUACGCGAGGAACCUUACCAAGGCUUAAAUGUAAUUUGACCGAUUUGGAAACAGAUCUUU